Molecule: small nuclear RNA, 107 nt
Filed under: Cervus elaphus hippelaphus
Lineage: Eukaryota; Metazoa; Chordata; Mammalia; Artiodactyla; Cervidae
Source: RNAcentral
GUGCUUGCUUCGGCAGCACAUGUACUAAAAUUGGAACAAUACAGAGAAGCUUAGCAUGGCCCCUGCGCAAGGAUGACACGCAAAUUUGUGAAGCGUUCCAUAUUUUU